CCUCCCCGGGCUCCAAGUGCGCAGGCGCCGGCCCCGAGGACCGACAGUGCGCGGGGCUGGAGCGCGGUCGGAGCGCACGGUGGCGGUGGUGGCGGCGAAAGACUGAAGGAUCGCGGGCGGACGGCGGACACACAGACCUACGAGCUUAGGAGUCGGCGGCUGUGCCGCACGUGCCGCCUGGCUGGAGGGGUGGCCACCUAGCCAUGUCACCUAGUACCUGCUGAACUAGGAGUGCUUGAGGAUGUCCGCGCUGAGGAAGGCAAAAUGACUCAGCUCUGAAACAGCUUUGAAGGAAAAGUUUGGCUACAGGGAAGAUUGUGCAAGUAGCCAGGAACAUCAGGAGAAGCGUGUUGAGGCUUUCCUGCCACCCGAGGCUCAGCCGUAGUACUGCGCAUCCCAUUCCAACGGUGACUCCCUCUGCUGCACCCAGCCCAGCACGAUGGGGACGGCUCAGGUUCUGCCCGGCAUUCUGCAGAAGCAUUGCUGUGUGCUACCAGACAGGAACACAGAUCUGAUGCCCGUUUGCUGGACGUGCCCACAGGGCGGUCACCACGGCGGGCGGUCAUCGUUGAUUAAGAUAAUUUUUUUUAAUGUGUCACUGCAUGAAUCUCCAUCUCCAUCUCUGGAAAUUGAGUAAAUUCAUAGAAGAAAAGUUGAUUACUGUUUAGAUACUUGUUUUGUCAUUUUGAAUGGGAAAUAUUGAAAACUAAAAUUAAACAUACAUAAAUGCUAUAUCAGACUCAUUUUUAUUCAAGUACAGUACAACAUUCAGUGUUAUAGUCAUUGCUAUUUAUUCUAUGGUUUAGGUAAAAUAUUUGGGAAAAUAACCCCUAAUGUAAUGACAUGCUUUUAUGUGAUAUUAAACAGAUUCCCAAC
This 876-nucleotide long non-coding RNA is filed under the name Ictidomys tridecemlineatus (thirteen-lined ground squirrel). RNAcentral describes it as "lncRNA (ENSSTOG00000029421.1)". Lineage: Eukaryota; Metazoa; Chordata; Mammalia; Rodentia; Sciuridae. The record is from RNAcentral.